CCGCUUAGAGCAUCCACAUUGGUAUGAUAUUUACCAUUUAAGACUCGAUAUCAAAUAGGUAAAUCCGUUGUGGGAAAAAAAAAGUGAAGGUACGCAGGAUCUCACUUAAGACACCAAAUCUUAAGUGGAUCCACACCACUUUUCAAUAAAAUAAUCAUUUUUGAGUUGUUUUUGUUGUUGUUGGGAUCCAUUUAGACGUUUUGAUAGAUGAUCUCUAUUGAAGUGGUUGAGUACCUAUUAAAUACUAUUAUUAAAAAAUAAUAAAAAAUGAUGUGUCAAUGUAGGUCCAGUUUAAGACCUCAAAUGUGAGAGUCUCCAUUGUGGAAACUCUGAUUCACUAAGUUGGUUAGUUAAAAUUUAUAACACAUUUAAUAUAAAAACUUGAUGAGGAUCAAAGUUUAUUAAAUUUUUUUAAUUAUAUUUUAAAAAUAUUUUAUUAUUUCUCUUUUAGCCUUUCAUUAUAGACAAGGGACAAAUCCAAGAAGAGAAGUAAUUGAAUAAAGAAGAUGCAUUAAUUAGUUCCAACAAAUAAACAUAGAUUCAUCUUAGAACCCUUAUCAGAAGAAGUUUAGUUGCUCAUGGAAUAGAAAACAUCUAUAUUAUAUAUAAAGAAAAUAGUCUCUUUUAGCUCUUUUGGACUGAUUCCUUCUCCUUCCAAAAUUACCCUCAACAUUUAAUGCAAAUAGCACAUAUAACAAAUAGAGGUAAUCCUAUUGGCGGAGAUUCCCGUAAGUUGAAUUUUUGGCAACCGGUCCUUUGACCGUAUAAAAUCUAGAUUGUUGAGUUCGAAGAGUCGCAACUUAUCUUUGGGUGGUCGAUUGGUUCUUCCGAAUUUUGUCUUGUCCUCUUUACCGGUCUAUUUUCUUUCCUUCUUCAAGGCUCCUGCAUGUAUGAUUUCUUCUACCGAAUCUAUUUUUAAUUGUUUUUUCUAGGAGGGAGUGAGAAGUUAGGAAAAUAUCUUGAAUUAAAUGGGACAUUGUUUGUUCUAAUAAGGAAAAAGGAGGUAUGAGGGUUAGGAGGCUAAGGGAAUUCAAUAUGGAAUUGUUAGGUAAAUGGUGGUGGAGGUUGAAGGAAGAGCGUGGUAGUUUUUGGUUUAGAGUGUUGGUAACAAGGUUUGGGGAAGGUAGCAUUUUUGUUCAUGCUGACAGUGGGAGGGGUUCGGUGUGGUGGCGUAAUUUACUAAGUAAUGGUCGUGAUGUUGGUACAACUGCAUGAAAUUGGAUUGACGAUAACUGUGUGUGUGAGGUGGAUGAUGAUAAUUCCUUUUUAUUUUGGUGGGAUCCGUGGAUGGAGGACGUGGCUUUGAAAGUUAUGUUCAGUCACAUUUUUGAGCUUUCUGAUAACAAGAUGGCUACGGUGGCUGAGAUGGAGCACUUCAGGUGGGGUGAGAUUGGAGAGGCUUGGAAGUGGUGCAGGCCUUUACGGGCGUGGGAGGAAGAUCAGUUGAGGGAGUGUAGUACUUGUUUGAAUUCUAUUAUUUUGCAGGAUGAUGUUACAAACAGAUGGCGGUGGAAUGUCCACACUACAGAAUCUUACACCGUCAACAAUGCUUAUAAUUUUCUUCAACAAACUUCUUCCCAAUAUAUCAAUGAAGAUGACUUCCAUGUUUUUUGGAAUAAAGAUGUCCCUCCCAAGGUUAAUCUUUUUGUGUGGCGUCUCCUUCUCAACCGUCUUCCAACAAACUAUGUAACACCCCGUUUUUCCAACAUAAUUUUUUUUAGCAUAAAUCAGAGUAAAACACCUUAAACGAAAUGUUACACUUCUUUCAAACGUAAAUAUAGCAAAAUUACUAUUUAUUUCAAUCAUUUCAUAAUAUCAAAAUUAAAUCUCAAUUCAGCGGAAAAUAUCUUAAUGAAAUAUCAUGUUGGGAAAACGGGGUGUUACAAUUGGUGUCAGAGCAGGUUGGUCCGUCCGGCCAAGUAGUAGAAGUGGUGGCUCAAGUGUCAUAGGACUCUGAUACGUAACGAGAUGAGAAAUUGUUGUUUUAUUUUCAUUCCUUAUGUAUCAAUUUUUGGAACAUGUUGUUGGAGCCUUUAUUGUUAUUGAACAAAUUGUUAAUGGAUAAUUAUGUUGAGGCCUUUGUGCCAUAAUUUAUUGAUGGUUAUUAAUGUUAAGUGAUCGAAAAAUAUUCCGCUGCAAAGUAUUGAUUUAUCUAUUAAAGUUGAUUUUAAUAUAUAGCAUUUUAUUCUAUUUAAGAAAUUUUGAAAAGCAGUGUGACAUUCCCAUUUGUUGUUGAACUCUGAUUUAUUUUAUUUAAUAUUUAGCUGUUGGGUUAACGGGGUGUUACAAACGACAAUUUGGUAAAGAUAGGUGUACUUCCAGAUACUUCUCAACAAUGUGUGGAGGAUGUGGUAAUCUAGAGGACGCCGCCCAUCUAUUUUUCAUUGCAAUUUUUUCCGUCAAAUUUGGCUUGUUGUGUACGAUUGGUUAGGCUUUAUUUUGGUUACACUAUUUACUAUUUCACACCAUUUAGCCCAGUUUGGUUCCUUCAUAGGUUUUACUAAACGCGAGAAAGACAUAAUUCGUUUAGUUUGGUUUUCUUCAGCUUGGGUUUUAUGGAAAGAAAGAAAUGCAAGAAUCUUCAAGAAUUCUCAAAAUAUUAUUCACCACUUGCUUGACAACAACAAGGCUCAAUCUUUUGGUUGGUUGAAAGCGAAACACAAAAAUCUGGCUUUUGACUAUCAUUCGUGGUGGACUAACCCCUUGAGUUUCUUGUAAUGUUUCUUUUUAUUUUCAUUCAGAUGUUCCUUAUCUAUUUCUGAUGUAACUUGAUUUUUCUCUUUGGUUCUCUCUAGCACACCUUGUGCGGGGCAAGCAAAGAAGUUUGGUUAUUGAAGUUUCAUUUUAGAAUAGACAUGAGAAAAUUCAAAUAUUAAAACAAAAUGUAACAAAUUGUACAUAUCUGAUUUAUUUUUCCUUAUUAUUUAAAAAAGAUAAUGGAUGAAGUGAAUUCAAAUAUUUAAAAAAAUUGUAACAAACACAAUAUUUUUUUGUUACCACAAUAUUUAAAAGAAGUGUAACAAACUAUAUCAAGUAUAUGUCACUAUAAAUAUAACCAAUAAGAAAAUGAUUUUUUUUUUUUUUUUAUAAAAAGAAAAUGAUUGUUAUUUUAUUUUUAUUUUAUAUACAAAUAAACCAAAAUACGCAGAAUUGAUAAAUAAUUUUGUUAUAUGCUAUGACAAUAAUUCGUAGAUAAAUCGAUGUAUGAAUAGUUUUCAUUGAUAUUUAAAAAUUUAAAAAUUGUAAUAAAAAUUAUUCAAACAAAUAUACACACACAUGUUAGCGUAGUAAAAAGAGCGGAUAGACGAACAUGGUAGUGCCCGUCUUUAUAUAUAAAUACAAAUGCUAACAUGUAAGAUGUUGUUCCUUUUGUCUCAAUGAAUAUUUUAAAGAUAUUAAUGGUCAAAGUUGUGUAUUGGUAUGUGUGACGUGGUUGACUAUGACAUGUAUUUUGAAACAGAGGGAGUACAAGACAUACUCUCAAGGAAGAAGAUGAGGAAAAACCCUAGCUGCUUGAUAGACAAUUUAGGCAAGUGUAACAAAUCGUUACCAAAUAAUAAAAUGACAAGUAAAGUAUCGUAUCCACAUAGAUUUUCGUUCCAAAAAAUAAAUAAAUAAAACAAAUGGGGGGGAUAUGUUUGUUCAGAGCGAGAGUUUAGAAGUAACCUGAUUUUUAUUGCAGAACGUUACAGGCGGUUAGAAUUCUUCGAAUAUCCUCUAUUCAUUUGUUGAAAUUAAGUGACAGACAGGUUAUUCAGAGACUAGUUAAAUGAUACCCAUUUAAGUGAUGAGUUUGUGGGGUUUUAUCCCCUCCAGCUAUCGAGUUACAACCAUUACACCUAAGGUUCUACGCGCAUCAAGGGCAUUUGAUUUUCAAUCCUAGAGGGAGAGUUCACCUUUGUACGUAGUUUUAAGUGAGUCCUUACUCUCUCAGAGGUAAUUGAAGCAUAAACUUAAAUUAGAGUUCCUAAAUUCUCAAUUAUCCUAAGAGUACCCUCACAUAUGAAUUUUAAAAGUACAUCAGCAUACUCCUCAUCUUGGAAGUUCUACAAACGAGCACCCUAUCUCAUCAACCUUACCAAGGAUGAAAGGGUAAAAUUACAAUGCUACGUUCGGAUGUUUAUUCACAGUUUUCCUAGUUAUGGCGGUUUCCCUAAUUCUGGUGGUUGUCCACCGUUAUCUUAGAUACGUCCUAAUUCAAGUAAUUAUUUAUCGUUAUCUUAGGUAUUUCACUUUCGUAAUUCAAGUCAUUACUUACCGUUAUCCCAGGUGUGUCCUAGGUCAUGUGGAAGCAUUUCGCUCUUCGUAUAAUAAAAUUAAACAAUCUCAUAAAAUAAAAGAAUAAAAAGACUUAAAUUAAAUAGAUCCAACAAACAAAAUAGAGGUUCAUCUUAGAACCCUACAUAAUAAGGUCUAGUUAGUCAUGGUAAUUAAAGACAAAUUACAAAAGAAAUAAUAUUUUUCAUUAUUGUAGAUUAUUAAUUAUUAUAUCCUUUGGAAGUAUAACUAUAAUAAUAUUGGAUAAAUGAUCAAUGAGUCACUAAAUAAUAUAGUUGUACUAUUCAUACAGGGGACUCAUAACAACAUAUUUAUCAUUAACGAGAUCUUUUUCUUUUACUAAAAAUAAACGAUAUCCAUUCGUUCGAAUUGAUAGAGUACAUCGAUACAAUACAAUACAAAUUCGCUAAAAACAAAGAUGAUGAAUCUGCGAACAAUCUCAUAUCAUUCAUGUUAAUAGCAUAAAACGACAAAAUACUUAAGCCUGCAUAUAUGACUAUAUUCAGGUCUUUAGAAUACCCAUAUCUCCAGAUCUGCAAUGUUGACGACACCAAAUUCAUUAAAAAAUAAUAAAAAAUGAUGUGUCAAUGCAGGUCCAGUUUAAGACCUCAAAUGUGAGAGUCUCCAUUGUGGAUACUCUUUGGUUUACUAAGUUGGUUAGUUAAAAUUUAUAACAC
Molecule: long non-coding RNA, 4955 nt
Filed under: Medicago truncatula (barrel medic)
Lineage: Eukaryota; Viridiplantae; Streptophyta; Magnoliopsida; Fabales; Fabaceae
Description: long non-coding RNA (MTRU_LNC000625)
Source: RNAcentral